RNAcentral lists this ribosomal RNA (450 nucleotides) under uncultured bacterium. RNAcentral describes it as "partial 16S ribosomal RNA". It matches the Rfam family "Bacterial small subunit ribosomal RNA", at positions 354 to 796 of the family's 1533-position model. The record is from RNAcentral.
GUGGGGAAUAUUGGACAAUGGGCGAAAGCCUGAUCCAGCCAUGCCGCGUGUGUGAAGAAGGUCUUCGGAUUGUAAAGCACUUUAAGUUGGGAGGAAGGGCAGUAAGUUAAUACCUUGCUGUUUUGACGUUACCGACAGAAUAAGCACCGGCUAACUUCGUGCCAGCAGCCGCGGUAAUGCGAAGGGUGCAAGCGUUAAUCGGAAUUACUGGGCGUAAAGCGCGCGUAGGUGGUUUUGUAAGUUGGAGGUGAAAUCCCCGGGCUCAACCUGGGAACUGCCUCCAAAACUGCAUGACUAGAGUACGGUAGAGGGUAGUGGAAUUUCCUGUGUAGCGGUGAAAUGCGUAGAUAUAGGAAGGAACACCAGUGGCGAAGGCGACUACCUGGACUGAUACUGACACUGAGGUGCGAAAGCGUGGGGAGCAAACAGGAUUAGAAACCCCGGUAGUCC